CCUACGGAGGCAGCAGUGGGGGAUAUUGCACAAUGGGGGAAACCCUGAUGCAGCGACGCCGCGUGAGUGAAGAAGUAUUUCGGUAUGUAAAGCUCUAUCAGCAGGGAAGAAAAUGACAGUACCUGACAAAGAAGCCCCGGCUAACUACGUGCCAGCAGCCGCGGAAAUACGUAGGGGGCAAGCGUUAUCCGGAUUUACUGGGUGUAAAGGGAGCGUAGACGGUUAUGUAAGUCUGGAGGGAAAGCCGGGGGCCCAACCCCGGGACUGCUUUUGAAACUGUGUAACUGGAGGACAGGAGGGGCAGGCGGAAUGCCUGGUGUAGCGGUGAAAUGCGUAGAUAUCAUGAGGAACACCGACUGCGAAGGCGGCCUGCUGGACUGAAACUGACGUUGAGGCUCGAAAGCGUGGGGAGCAAACAGGAUUAGAUACCCCGGUUGUC
Molecule: ribosomal RNA, 439 nt
Filed under: uncultured bacterium
Lineage: Bacteria
Description: partial 16S ribosomal RNA
Rfam family: Bacterial small subunit ribosomal RNA
Source: RNAcentral